This 619-nucleotide long non-coding RNA is filed under the name Homo sapiens (human). RNAcentral describes it as "HSALNT0404976". Lineage: Eukaryota; Metazoa; Chordata; Mammalia; Primates; Hominidae. The record is from RNAcentral.
AACAGCCCUGCAGGGCCCAGUGCUGGACCAGGGCCUUGUCUCCAGCCUCUCCCCCAUGGGACUCUGGGGCCUUUGGGGGCCCUUGGGGGCCUUCCUGCACCCUCACACCUACUCAUCUCUGGACUCAGCCUCAGUGUGAAUGCUCACCUCGGGCUGAGCCAACCCCUCCAGACACGUUCUGCAGCUCGAGGAAGGAACUGCCCUUUGCAGCUGGGAUCUGCCCGAGUUUCAGCAGCAGCCUUGAAUUGUAAUCCCGAGCGGCUGGCGAAUAACACAGCACACAGCACUCGAGAGCCCAGACCACCCUGGCCUGCCACACCCCCAUCCUAUGACUAUAAAAACUCGCGAGACCCUGGCAGGCACGCACAAGCUGCUGGACGUGGAGAGGAGCGGAUUGGCAGAGGAGCACUCAGGCGGCUGGACGUCGAGAGGAACGCACUGACGGGCGCCGGCACCCCGGCAGGCUACCAACCGGCAGCAGAAUGACCUGGAGUUUGGCUGGGGCAGCCAGAGGAGAGCCCGGGCCCGACUCCAGGGGAAAACCGUCCCACUCCAUCUUCUUCUGCCUUCCCCCAUCUGCUACCUCCACUCAAUAAAACCUUGCACUCAUUCUCCGAGC